This 64-nucleotide transfer RNA is filed under the name Malaccina discoidalis. RNAcentral's name for it is "tRNA-Glu". The record is from RNAcentral. Lineage: Eukaryota; Metazoa; Arthropoda; Insecta; Blattodea; Blattellidae.
AUGUAGUUUACAAUAAAACAUUACAUUUUCAUUGUAAAAAUAAAUUAGAUUUCAUAAAUAAUAU